RNAcentral lists this ribosomal RNA (468 nucleotides) under uncultured bacterium. RNAcentral describes it as "partial 16S ribosomal RNA". It matches the Rfam family "Bacterial small subunit ribosomal RNA", at positions 28 to 507 of the family's 1533-position model. The record is from RNAcentral.
GACGAACGCUGGCGGCGUGCUUAACACAUGCAAGUCGAACGGAAAGGCCCUGCUUUUGUGGGGUGCUCGAGUGGCGAACGGGUGAGUAACACGUGAGUAACCUGCCCUUGACUUUGGGAUAACUUCAGGAAACUGGGGCUAAUACCGGAUAGGAGCUCCUGCUGCACGGUGGGGGUUGGAAAGUGUCGGCGGUGGGGGAUGGACUCGAGGCUUAUCAGCUUGUUGGUGGGGUAGUGGCUUACCAAGUCUAUGACGGGUAGCCGGCCUGAGAGGGUGACCGGCCACAUUGGGACUGAGAGACGGCCCAGACUCCUACGGGAGGCAGCAGUGGGGAAUAUUGCGCAAUGGGCGGAAGCCUGAUGCAGCAACGCCGCGUGCGGGAUGACGGCCUUCGGGGUGUAAACCGCUUUCGCCUGUGACGAAGCGUGAGUGACGGUAAUGGGUAAAGAAGCACCGGCUAACUACGUG